Molecule: long non-coding RNA, 3232 nt
Organism: Mytilus californianus (California mussel)
Lineage: Eukaryota; Metazoa; Mollusca; Bivalvia; Mytilida; Mytilidae
Exons: 7
Source: RefSeq, a predicted model, not a curated record
CUGUAAGGUGUACAUGUCCAACUGGCAGGUGUCAUCUGACCUUGACCUCAUUUUCAUGGUUCAGUGGUUAUAGUUAAGUUUUGUGUUUUGGUCUGUUUUUCUUAUACUGUAUGCCAUAGGUCUACUUUAUUUGGUGUAUGGAAUGAUUGUAAGGUGUACAUGUCUAGCGGGCAGGUGUCAUCUGACCUUGACCUCAUUUUCAUGGUUCAGUGGUCAAAGUUAAGUUUUUGAGUUUUGGUCUUUUUUUCUAAUACUAUAUGCAAUAGUUCAACUAUAUUUGGUAUGUGCGUACCUUGCAAGGUCCUCAUGCCCGUCAGACAGUUUUCACUUGACCUCAACCUCAUUUUAUGGAUCAGUGAACAAGGUUAAGUUUUGGUGGUCAAGUCCAUAUCUCAGAUACUAUAAGCAAUAGGUCUUGUAUAUUCGGUGUAUGGAAGGACUGUAAAGUGUACAUGUCCAACUGGCAGGUGUCAUCUGACCUUGACCUCAUUUUCAUGGUUCAGUGGUUAUAGUUAAGUUUUUGUGUUUUGGUCUGUUUUUCUUAUACUGUAUGCCAUAGGUCUACUAUAUUUGGUGUAUGGAAUGAUUGUAAGGUGUACAUGUCUAGCUGGCAGGUGUCAUCUGACCUUGACCUCGUUUUCAUGGUUCAGUGGUUAUAGUUAAGUUUUUGUGUUUUGGUCUGUUUUUCUUAUACUGUAAGCAAUAGGUCUACUAUAUUUGGUGUAUGGAAUGAUUGUAAGGUGUACAUGUCUAGCUUGCAGGUGUCAUCUGACCUUGACCUCGUUUUCAUGGUUCAGUUGUCAAAGGUAAGUUUUUGAGUUUUGGUCUUUUUUUCUAAUACUAUAUGCAAUAGUUCAACUAUAUUUGGUAUGUGCGUACCUUGCAAGGUCCUCAUGCCCGUCAGACAGUUUUCACUUGACCUUGACCUCAUUUCAUGGAUCAGUGAACAAGGUUAAGUUUUGGUGGUCAAGUCCAUAUCUCAGAUACUAUAAGCAAUAGGUCUAGUAUAUUCGGUGUAUGGAAGGACUGUAAGGUGUACAUGUCCAACUGGCAGGUGUCAUCUGACCUUGACCUCAUUUUCAUGGUUCAGUGGUUAUAGUUAAGUUUUUGUGUUUUGGUCUGUUUUUCUUAUACUGUAUGCCAUAGGUCUACUAUAUUUGGUGUAUGGAAUGAUUGUAAGGUGUACAUGUCUAGCGGGCAGGUGUCAUCUGACCUUGACCUCAUUUUCAUGGUUCAGUGGUCAAAGUUAAGUUUUUGAGUUUUGGUCUUUUUUUCUAAUACUAUAUGCAAUAGUUCAACUAUAUUUGGUAUGUGCGUACCUUGCAAGGUCCUCAUGCCCGUCAGACAGUUUUCACUUGACCUCAACCUCAUUUUAUGGAUCAGUGAACAAGGUUAAGUUUUGGUGGUCAAGUCCAUAUCUCAGAUACUAUAAGCAAUAGGUCUUGUAUAUUCGGUGUAUGGAAGGACUGUAAAGUGUACAUGUCCAACUGGCAGGUGUCAUCUGACCUUGACCUCAUUUUCAUGGUUCAGUGGUUAUAGUUAAGUUUUUGUGUUUUGGUCUGUUUUUCUUAUACUGUAUGCCAUAGGUCUACUAUAUUUGGUGUAUGGAAUGAUUGUAAGGUGUACAUGUCUAGCUGGCAGGUGUCAUCUGACCUUGACCUCGUUUUCAUGGUUCAGUGGUUAUAGUUAAGUUUUUGUGUUUUGGUCUGUUUUUCUUAUACUGUAAGCAAUAGGUCUACUAUAUUUGGUGUAUGGAAUGAUUGUAAGGUGUACAUGUCUAGCUGGCAGGUGUCAUCUGACCUUGACCUCGUUUUCAUGGUUCAGUGGUUAUAGUUAAGUUUUUGUGUUUUGGUCUGUUUUUCUUAUACUGUAAGCAAUAGGUCUACUAUAUUUGGUGUAUGGAAUGAUUGUAAGGUGUACAUGUCUAGCUUGCAGGUGUCAUCUGACCUUGACCUCAUUUUCAUGGUUCAGUGGUUAUAGUUAAGUUUUUGUGUUUUGGUCUGUUUUUCUUAUACUGUAUGCCAUAGGUCUACUAUAUUUGGUGUAUGGAAUGAUUGUAAGGUGUACAUGUCUAGCGGGCAGGUGUCAUCUGACCUUGACCUCAUUUUCAUGGUUCAGUGGUUAUAGUUAAGUUUUUGUGUUUUGGUCUGUUUUUCUUAUACUGUAUGCCAUAGGUCUACUAUAUUUGGUGUAUGGAAUGAUUGUAAGGUGUACAUGUCUAGCGGGCAGGUGUCAUCUGACCUUGACCUCAUUUUCAUGGUUCAGCGGUCAAAGUUAAGUUUUUUCAGUUUUGGUCUUUUUUUCUAAUACUAUAUGCAAUAGUUCAACUAUAUUUGGUAUGUGCGUACCUUGCAAGGUCCUCAUGCCCGUCAGACAGUUUUCACUUGACCUUGACCUCAUUUCAUGGAUCAGUGAACAAGGUUAAGUUUUGGUGGUCAAGUCCAUAUCUCAGAUACUAUAAGCAAUAGGUCUAGUAUAUUUGGUGUAUGGAAGGACUGUAAGGUGUACAUGUCCAACUGGCAGGUGUCAUCUGACCUUGACCUCAUUUUCAUGGUUUAGUGGUUAUAGUUAAGUUUUUGUGUUUUGGUCUGUUUUUCUUAUACUGUAUGCCAUAGGUCUACUAUAUUUGGUGUAUGGAAUGAUUGUAAGGUGUACAUGUCUAGCGGGCAGGUGUCAUCUGACCUUGACCUCAUUUUCAUGGUUCAGUGGUCAAAGUUAAGUUUUUUUCAGUUUUGGUCUUUUUUUCUAAUACUAUAUGCAAUAGUUCAACUAUAUUUGGUGUAUGGAAAUAUUUUAUGAUCUAUUUGGCAGUCACGCAGGUUUUAUUUGACCUUGACCUCAUUUUUACGGUUCAUUGCUCAGUGUUAAGUUUUUGUGUUUUGGUCUGUUUUUCUUAAACUAUAAGCAAUAGGUCAACUAUAUUUGUUGUAUGGAAGAAUUGUUAGCUGUUCAUGCCUGCCUAGCAUGGUUCAUCUGACCUUGACCUCAUUUUCAUGGUUUAUUGGUCAAUGUUUAGUUUACUUGGUUAAUGUUAAGUUUAUGUGACAGUUGUAAUAAAGCUUUAUAUUUAGGACUAUCAACAUAAUAUCAAUGAUUAGUAAAGAAGGCGAGACAUUUCAGCGUGUGCACUCUUGUCUUGGUUAAUGUUAAGUUUAUGUGACAGUUGUAAUAAAGCUUUAUAUUUAGGACUGUCAACAUAAUAUCAAUGAUUAGUAAAGAAGGCGAGACAUUU